Molecule: long non-coding RNA, 558 nt
Organism: Grammomys surdaster
Lineage: Eukaryota; Metazoa; Chordata; Mammalia; Rodentia; Muridae
Exons: 3
Source: RefSeq, a predicted model, not a curated record
UCACCGCGUCGCCCGGCCGUCGCUCGGGCGUCCUCCUCGCCGCCGGGGCUUCUCCUCUGAGGGGUGGGCGGAGAGCUUAGCGAGAGCCCGGGCGUUUGCAACUUUUCUUCACUUUCUCUUCCACCGCCCCCCGAAACGGGGGGAAAAAAAUGUCGACAGGGAUGAAGAAGUUGAGGGCACUGAACACACAUGGUCCACAGACAUACGUGAAGGCAAAACAUCCAUGAACAGAAAAUAAAAAGGGUUUUAAAACCUUUACAAAAACCCCUCAAGGUUGGAAUGAGCCAAAAGUCUGCACACAAAAAUCGAGACAAGUGGUCCGAGCCAAAUAGACGAAAGCAAAAGAGACGCUGUGCUAAAUGACAGCAGGGAGAGUGGUGACCACAGAGCUUCCUGUGUUUCUGGUAAUCUAGGGUAUUUCCUAGAGGAGCCGAACCCAGCUUCUCGGAUGGGCCCUACAGAAGAAUCUGGAACUUACUCCUAUAAGAGAAUAGGACAUCAGCACAAAGACAGACCUGGAGUCAUCGGAAACGACCUUACCACUGAACUGUACACUUA